CCUACGGGGGGCUGCAGUAACGAAUCUUCCGCAAUGCACGAAAGUGUGACGGAGCGACGCCGCGUGUAGGACGAAGCCCUUCGGGGUGUAAACUACUGUCAGGGGAAAGAAAGUUCUGAUCUACCCCAGAGGAAGGGACGGCUAACUCUGUGCCAGCAGCCGCGGUAAGACAGAGGUCCCGAGCGUUAGGCGGAAUCACUGGGCUUAAAGCGUGUGUAGGCGGAUUUGUAAGUACCUUGUGAAAUCCCACGGCUCAACCGUGGAACUGCUUGGUAUACUGCUUAUCUUGGGCCAGCUAGGGGCUACCGGAACAAGUGGUGGAGCGGUGAAAUGCGUAGAUAUCACUUGGAACGCCAAUGGUGAAAACAGGUAGCUGGGGCUGUGCCGACGCUGAGACACGAAAGCCAGGGGAGCGAACGGGAUUAGAUACCCCAGUAGUC
This 440-nucleotide ribosomal RNA is filed under the name uncultured bacterium. RNAcentral's name for it is "bacterial SSU rRNA". It matches the Rfam family "Bacterial small subunit ribosomal RNA", at positions 338 to 795 of the family's 1533-position model. The record is from RNAcentral.